Molecule: ribosomal RNA, 449 nt
Filed under: uncultured bacterium
Lineage: Bacteria
Description: partial 16S ribosomal RNA
Rfam family: Bacterial small subunit ribosomal RNA
Source: RNAcentral
AACGAACGCUGGCGGCAUGCCUAACACACGCAAGUCGAACGAGAUCUUCGGGUCUAGUGGCGCACGGGUGCGUAACGCGUGGGAAUCUGCCCUUUGGUUCGGAAUAACAGUUGGAAACGACUGCUAAUACCGGAUGAUGACGAAAGUCCAAAGAUUUAUCGCCAGAGGAUGAGCCCGCGUAGGAUUAGCUAGUUGGUGUGGUAAAGGCGCACCAAGGCGACGAUCCUUAGCUGGUCUGAGAGGAUGAUCAGCCACACUGGGACUGAGACACGGCCCAGACUCCUACGGGAGGCAGCAGUGGGGAAUAUUGGACGAUGGGCGAAAGCCUGAUCCAGCAAUGCCGCGUGAGUGAUGAAGGCCUUAGGGUUGUAAAGCUCUUUUACCCGGGAUGAUAAUGACAGUACCGGGAGAAUAAGCUCCGGCUAACUCCGUGCCAGCAGCCGCCGUAA